Non-coding RNA from Callorhinus ursinus (northern fur seal), 1839 nucleotides. The record is from RefSeq and is a predicted model, not a curated record. NCBI's taxonomy places the organism in Eukaryota, Metazoa, Chordata, Mammalia, Carnivora, Otariidae.
AACAGUUUUUUUGUUGUUGUUGUUAUAAAGUGGUAUUUACCAAAUGAGAGAAUAACUAUUAUUUUGGUCAUCUUGAAAAUUUGGUAAAAUAGUGUUGAGAGAAUUAGCUAAUAAUUUGGGAGUAACCACAUCUAAGACAGGUACUAUUUGGGUUCAGCAGUGUUUUAGUUUAUGUAGGCCCGAGGUAUGGAUUGCUUUAUUGAAAUAGGAUUUAAAGUUGCUUUCGCUGAACAUAAGUUGAUUUUCAAUUCAAAAGUCACUUUAGGAUUUUAAGUACCUUUGAAACAUUGUAAGAGUUGUUGAAUUAUGGCUGUCAAAAUGCCGAAUAAUGGGUUUUAUCUUCUGUAGAAUUCUUUUCGACAUUUGUGUUCUAAUUCCCUUCCAAGUCAACGAAGUUUUGAUAUUUGAAGCUGCUGGAUAAAACAGGAAGGCUGUGAGAGCUGGGACUCCCAGCGUUUAGACUAGGAGAAUUUCAGAACAUUCACAGGAACCAGUAGAGGCCAGUAGAGAUGAAGCAACCUUUAUGUUUUGUUUUUUUGGAAAGCAGAGGGUAGUUUAGAGCACUGUGUUUGGGGUAGGAAGGAAGAUAGACUACAAACUGGCCAAAAGGCCGUUUUGACACCCAAAGCACUAAUGACAUCACGUUGGCUUUACUUUUCUCACUUCUCAUAAGCUAACUUUUCGGAACCGUUCUGGAAAAAUUGAGUGAUGGUGGCCUCUUUUACAUGUCUUACACUCAUGCACCCCAGAAUCUAGAGGGAUGAAAACUAACAUUCAGUUUUUCUUCUGUGUAACAGGUUUUUAUGGAUGUUUUAACACUUCCAUGAAGUUAACCUCAUUUUCUUUAACCCUCCAUAUCAGUGCCUUCCAUCUGAUAUAGAGGAUUUAAGUGCUGUUUCCACUCCUUGAUUUACCAGCUGUUGUUCUUCAAGCAAGAAUGUCACCUCUCAGCCCAUUCUCCAGUAAGAGACUACAAUGAAGCCAUUUAAAGAAGGUUUUGUAUAGCUAUAUACAUAAAAACUGAAGUAUCUCCAUGGGAAAGAUCUCGAAGACAUUACAUAUAUAGUAUGAUCCCACCUAGAGCUUUCAAAGUACAUGUUGUGUACCUGUGUGUUCAAACUCAGCCUAUUUUUGAGCACCUGCUCCAGAGGAUGGUUCUUAACCAGCAGGGCAUUCCACAGCGCUGCUAUUGACCUCAUCUAUGAUGUCAUGAGGGUGGUGGCCAUCCACACUGCAGCCCACAGACCGGGCAGUCCCCAGGAUCUCUUUAAUGGUUCCAGACAGUUCUCUGGCUAAAGAUUGGUGCCACAUCUGUCGGGCAUUGCUGACAAUCUCAUCAAAAGUGAUAUUUCCACUGUGCUUCAUGUUUUCCUGCUUCUUUCUGUCUCUUGGCAGUUCCUUGAAGGCUUUGAUAAUCAGGGCGGAGGCAGAAGGUACCCCUUCAAUCUGGGCCUGUCUGUUCUAACUACUCAAUCUCACCGUCAUCCUCAGACCCUUCCAAUCACCAGUUGCCUUGAUAAUGUCAUCACCAACCUUUUUUUUUGGAGACAGAGCCAGGGGGCUGAUCUUAGGAGCCAGGGCAGAUGUGACACCAACUUCCCCACCAGUGCACCUCAGGUACACAAGUUUGAUCUCACUGGGGUCAAACUUAGGGGUCAUGAUGGAGGUGGCUGGUGUUGGAUGAACCCGAAUUCAGGAUGACUGAAGAGUGGCACCAUGGCCUCCUCAGAGCCAAAAACCAAAAGGUCCAUAUGUGUUUGUAGUGGAUGAAAUUAAGUUUCUUGGGGCACCUGGCAGGCUCAGUCGAUGAAGCAUCUGCCUUCAGCUCAGGUCAUGGAC